RNAcentral lists this long non-coding RNA (278 nucleotides) under Mytilus galloprovincialis (Mediterranean mussel). Lineage: Eukaryota; Metazoa; Mollusca; Bivalvia; Mytilida; Mytilidae. The record is from RNAcentral.
GUCGAGUAAAAAAUCAGUGAUACGUCGCAUUCUAGUGAAUUUGUUACGUGUUUGAAACACAAAAGCAGUGCUCUUCUAUAACAUUGGUUACUGGUAAUAUAAUAACAUCUUAACAAUGAGGACUAUCAAACAACGUUCAUAUAUAUGUAUAGGAAAUAAUUUCUUUUAGGUUCGUGAUUUCAAGGGAAUUUUCUGAACGAAAAAGUCUAUAUGGACAUUUUGAUAUUAUGCAUUGAUUUUCAUUGUAAAUAGCCAGCAUUUAUAAUUAAUUGCAGUAA